RNAcentral lists this ribosomal RNA (440 nucleotides) under uncultured bacterium. Its description in RNAcentral is "partial 16S ribosomal RNA". It matches the Rfam family "Bacterial small subunit ribosomal RNA", at positions 338 to 795 of the family's 1533-position model. The record is from RNAcentral.
CCUACGGGAGGCAGCAGUGGGGAAUAUUGCACAAUGGGGGAAACCCUGAUCCAGCGACGCCGCGUGAGUGAAGAAGUAUUUCGUUAUGUAAAGCUCUAUCAGCAGGGAAGAAAAUGACGGUACCUGACUAAGAAGCCCCGGCUAACUACGUGCCAGCAGCCGCGGUAAUACGUAGGGGGCAAGCGUUAUCCGGAUUUACUGGGUGUAAAGGGAGCGUAGACGGCAGUGCAAGUCUGGAGUGAAAGGUGGGGGCCCAACCCCCGGACUGCUUUGGAAACUGUAGGGCUGGAGUGCAGGAGAGGUAAGUGGAAUUCCUAGUGUAGCGGUGAAAUGCGUAGAUAUUAGGAGGAACACCAGUGGCGAAGGCGGCUUACUGGACUGUAACUGACGUUGAGGCUCGAAAGCGUGGGGAGCAAACAGGAUUAGAUACCCUAGUAGUC